RNAcentral lists this long non-coding RNA (2703 nucleotides) under Helianthus annuus (common sunflower). Its description in RNAcentral is "hypothetical non coding rna". The record is from RNAcentral. Lineage: Eukaryota; Viridiplantae; Streptophyta; Magnoliopsida; Asterales; Asteraceae.
UUGGAAACUAUAUCAUUUCAUCGGAAUAUCUCAUCUUUUGAAAUAUCCAGAUUCGCCUCCUUGAAACUCUCAAAUUCGAAAACGAUAAAUUUCGGUCAUCAUUGAAUUCUUUCAAUCAUUUCAAACACUUUGUAGCGUCCGAAUAGAUUGUAGCCUGUGCUAAACCCUAUUCAUACGCCAUUCGUUUGAUUUGUCAUUUUCUUGGUACAAUUAUGUACUCAGAUUACGAUACACUAAAUUCUAUUGUCCAGUACCCUUUAAGUAAACGAUAUUGAUUUUGGAUAAUCAUUAACAAAUCAUUUUCCAUACUUCCAUUCACAAAUAGAUAUUUAUCAAUUCAGAAUCUCCCUCAAUUGAUCAAAGUAAGUUCCUUUUUGACAUUAAUCUUAUUGUUUCUCCAAGUCAUUUUAUUUCAAAAUUCAUGCCUAUCAAAUAUCUUUUGAUUCCAUCCCAUAAUAUAUUGUUUCUAUUAAAAGAAGAAACAUAACCCCAAGAAAAUAUCAUAGUCCAAAUCUCGAGGACGAGAUUUUUUAUUAAGGUGGGGAGGAUGUAACGACUCUCACUAAAAUUAAUACUUAUUAUGUUAAUUGUAUAAAAAGGAAACCCUAAUUAAGACACCCAAGUGAUUCUGCACAAACCCUAAAAUUUCCGGAAUGAUCGGAAUCAGGAUCAGGGCCCCUAAAACUCAAGGGGGGUUAAACCUAGUGGACGAUUUUCCUAAAAACGCGUUGCCUAAAUCUGAUUGGUCGAAUCUGUUGAUUCAGCAUAGCUAGUCCCAUGCGUGGCAACCCUAUAGUCGGUUCCAACCCUUUACGGACCGUAAAGGGUUAGGCUUACGGUCCGUAAGCAUGCCCAAAAUCGAGUAUAAAUAGCAGAACACUGGCACUUGAUUCUGGGCACUUGAACGACGAACAAAGUCGGAAAUUAGACGGAGUUAUGCUCUGUUUACCACAAUUAACACACACAAACCUCGAAACGCUGCCGCAAUCAGGGUAUUAACUCGAUCGCUGUUCAAUUCUUUUCUUUCCGUCAAGCUUUUAUUUUUGUAAAUAAUAGCUCGGGAUUUUACCCUCUAAAUCCCUAAACUCUGCCCGUUAUUAGGGUAAUAACUCUAAUCACUGGUACGAUACUUUAUCCAAUCGAUUAUAACUAUCCAACGAUUGUCUGAGUGCUGCUCAAAUUGAGUUAUACUUUUAUUCAUUAAGAUUUCGACUUGAAUGUUUGAGUGCUGUCCAAACUCGGGCUAUACUCUGUCAUUCGUUGUGAAUCCGCUGAAUUAUUAAGUAUUGCACUUGUAAAUCGUUGUGAGGGUUUUAUCUCGUGAUUAUCGUUAAAGUUGAAUUGAGUUAAUACACUAAUACGAGUUCCAUUGUGUCUAGAAAUUAGAACUCGUAAUCAGGAAACUGCUAGAAUACUUAAUAGUUAAAUAAACUUAGCAAUUAAGUUAGCUAAGUAGAUUAAUUAAUCUGUUAAUUAAAUUAAGUAUAAUUAAUUAAUUAGUUAAUCAAGAUUAAUUAAGUUAAACUAGAUUAAUUAUGUUAAGUACGAUUAAUUGAGUUAAGCAAGAUUAAUUAAGCUAAGUAAGAUCUACUAAUCACCUAAAUAGAAAUAUAUAAAAAUAUAAUAGAUAAUACCAAAGGAAGGUGCUAGGAAGGUAUAAGAGGAUAGAUAUCUGUGGAUAGGAAGCUUCCUAGAAGUUGUAUAAGUAACUUCCUAGAAAAGCUAUAGGAAACUUCCUAGAAAUACAAGGGAAACUUCCUAGAAAUUUCCUAUUUCCUACCUAUAAAUAGGAAGCUUAGGAUUCAUUUUUCUUUGCUCAUUUCUUUCUUCUUCUCUCUAUACGUUGGUGUUCUAACCAAUAAUCAUUCAAUCGCUAUUACGAUUCAUUUUCCGACCGAUCAAUAUAUCCAAUGGAUGUUUAAGUGCCGCCCACAUUAGGGUUAUACUUUGUCGUUCGUCGUUAAUUCGAUGAAUGUUUAAGUAUCGCAUUUGUCGUUCGUUGUGAGAAUUUGAUCUCGUGAGUUAUCGUAAAAGCUGUAUUGAUCAUUAACCCGGUUUUUGUGAAAUUCGUUAAGGUUCGAAUCUCAUGACUACCGUUAAGGUUUGAUUUGGGUUUUACACCAAUACGUAUUCCAUUCUGUUAAACUAUGUAUUUAACUACCAAAAAUACUCCCAACUACACCCUUACAAUCAAACAAACUAUUAAAUCAUCAGAAGAUCCAGAAUAAUAAAGUGCAUGCUUAAUUAUCGGAAGAAGUAGAAUCAAGAAGUUUGUUAACUCAAUCCUGCAUGCUGAUUUGUGAAAUUAUAAUUACAGUGAUUAAGUUGAUGUAAUCACCAAAUACAGCCAGUAUGUGGGGGUAUUGUGCACAUUACUACAGUUUAAAUCAUUUUAGGUGGGCGAACCUAAUUUUAAUUGAUUUACGUCAUUCAUUGGGGCAGCCAAUGGUGAUAUGACCACUGUCACAGAUCCGGUCGAGUGACAAAUACUGUGGGUAGUUGGUUGAUAUCAGAAACAUGCGUAAAAGAUCUUAACACUGUGUAUUAAAAUAAAUGUGUCAUUUUCAGUAAAAUGAAUGAUUCACUCAGUAUUUCCCGCUGACAAAACCUUUUUAAAACACGUUUCAGGUAAUUACAGUAGAUUGGAGUAAGGAUUGGAUCCGGCACUAAAAGACUUCAAGAAGUGGCUUAUUUUAUUAAUUA